Molecule: microRNA precursor, 94 nt
Filed under: Branchiostoma floridae (Florida lancelet)
Lineage: Eukaryota; Metazoa; Chordata; Leptocardii; Amphioxiformes; Branchiostomatidae
Description: mir-2060 microRNA precursor family
Rfam family: mir-2060 microRNA precursor family
Source: Rfam by way of RNAcentral
GUAUUCAUGUGUGAACGUGGUGUUCAGCACCAAGGACAGAUGUGGUCACCUGUGUGUGGAUAAUGUUUACCAUUAGGAACAGGUUUGUUUUCCC